RNAcentral lists this ribosomal RNA (477 nucleotides) under uncultured bacterium. RNAcentral's name for it is "partial 16S ribosomal RNA". It matches the Rfam family "Bacterial small subunit ribosomal RNA", at positions 30 to 507 of the family's 1533-position model. The record is from RNAcentral.
AUUGAACGCUGGCGGCAUGCCUUACACAUGCAAGUCGAACGGUAACAGGUUAAGCUGACGAGUGGCGAACGGGUGAGUAAUGUAUCGGAACGUGCCCAGUCGUGGGGGAUAACUGCUCGAAAGAGCAGCUAAUACCGCAUACGACCUGAGGGUGAAAGCGGGGGAUCGCAAGACCUCGCGCGAUUGGAGUGGCCGAUAUCAGAUUAGGUAGUUGGUGAGGUAAAGGCUCACCAAGCCGACGAUCUGUAGCUGGUCUGAGAGGACGACCAGCCACACUGGGACUGAGACACGGCCCAGACUCCUACGGGAGGCAGCAGUGGGGAAUUUUGGACAAUGGGCGCAAGCCUGAUCCAGCCAUGCCGCGUGCGGGAAGAAGGCCUUCGGGUUGUAAACCGCUUUUGUCAGGGAAGAAAAGGUUCUGGCUAAUACCUGGGACUCAUGACGGUACCUGAAGAAUAAGCACCGGCUAACUACGUG